GAGUUUGAUCAUGGCUCAGGAUGAACGCUAGCGACAGGCUUAACACAUGCAAGUCGAGGGGCAGCGGGGGAGUAGCAAUACUCCCGCCGGCGACCGGCGCACGGGUGAGUAACACGUAUGAAACCUGCCCGUAGCAGGGGGAUAAGCGGAAGAAAUUCCGUCUAAUACCGCGUAACAACCCAUGGAGGCAUCUCCGUGGGUUUAAAGGAAGCGAUUCCGGCUACGGAUGGUCAUGCGUCGCAUUAGCUGGUUGGCGGGGUAACGGCCCACCAAGGCGACGAUGCGUAGGGGUUCUGAGAGGAAGGUCCCCCACACUGGUACUGAGACACGGACCAGACUCCUACGGGAGGCAGCAGUGAGGAAUAUUGGUCAAUGGCCGCAGGGCUGAACCAGCCAAGUCGCGUGAGGGAUGACGGUCCUAUGGAUUGUAAACCUCUUUUGUCAGGGAGCAAAGGGCGCCACGUGUGGCGCUUUGCGAGUACCUGAAGAAAAAGCAUCGGCUAACUCCGUGCCAGCAGCCGCGGUAAUACGGAGGAUGCGAGCGUUAUCCGGAUUUAUUGGGUUUAAAGGGUGCGCAGGCGGAAUGUCAAGUCAGCGGUAAAAUUUCGGGGCUCAACCCCGUCGUGCCGUUGAAACUGGCGUUCUUGAGUGAGCGAGAAGUAUGCGGAAUGCGUGGUGUAGCGGUGAAAUGCAUAGAUAUCACGCAGAACUCCGAUUGCGAAGGCAGCAUACCGGCGCUCAACUGACGCUCAUGCACGAAAGCGUGGGUAUCGAACAGGAUUAGAUACCCUGGUAGUCCACGCAGUAAACGAUGAAUACUAACUGUCCGGGCAGAAUGAUGCCUGGGUGGUACAGCGAAAGCGUUAAGUAUUCCACCUGGGGAGUACGCCGGCAACGGUGAAACUCAAAGGAAUUGACGG
This 920-nucleotide ribosomal RNA is filed under the name uncultured bacterium. RNAcentral's name for it is "bacterial SSU rRNA". It matches the Rfam family "Bacterial small subunit ribosomal RNA", at positions 9 to 916 of the family's 1533-position model. The record is from RNAcentral.